This 521-nucleotide ribosomal RNA is filed under the name uncultured bacterium. RNAcentral describes it as "bacterial SSU rRNA". It matches the Rfam family "Bacterial small subunit ribosomal RNA", at positions 554 to 1074 of the family's 1533-position model. The record is from RNAcentral.
UUGGGCGUAAAGCGAGCGCAGGCGGUUAGAUAAGUCUGAAGUUAAAGGCUGUGGCUUAACCAUAGUAUGCUUUGGAAACUGUUUAACUUGAGUGCAAGAGGGGAGAGUGGAAUUCCAUGUGUAGCGGUGAAAUGCGUAGAUAUAUGGAGGAACACCGGUGGCGAAAGCGGCUCUCUGGCUUGUAACUGACGCUGAGGCUCGAAAGCGUGGGGAGCAAACAGGAUUAGAUACCCUGGUAGUCCAUGCCGUAAACGUUGGGCACUAGGUGUGGGGGACAUUCCACGUUUUCCGCGCCGUAGCUAACGCAUUAAGUGCCCCGCCUGGGGAGUACGGCCGCAAGGCUAAAACUCAAAGAAAUUGACGGGGGCCCGCACAAGCGGCGGAGCAUGCGGAUUAAUUCGAUGCAACGCGAAGAACCUUACCAAGGCUUGACAUAUACUGGACUGCGUCAGAGAUGGCGUUUCCCUUCGGGGCUGGUAUACAGGUGGUGCAUGGUUGUCGUCAGCUCGUGUCGUGAGAAG